AAGGAAAACCUAUAUUCUGAGGUGACAAAAGAAGCUCUCCUGCCCCUUAACACUGGUCUGAAACAGGAGGAUGUUGUGUGCAGAAGAUGACUAAGAUCACAGGGUUGCUCACCAGGCCUGGAGGCAGCAGCCUUCUACUGGUGUUCCAAAUGGCAGCUUUGGCGAUGCUGGUAUCAGAACACACUAUGCUGGAAGUAAUUUAUGCAUCUACCACAAAUUAGCUGGAAGGAGGAGAAACCCUGAAUUUGAAUUGCCUCAUCAGGCAUCAACAGGAUCAGUCAUCACAAAUGAAGGCUCACUGGUAUAAAAAAAACCAAAGAUGCAAACUGAGGCUGGGUUUGGAAAGGAGAUAGAAAGCUUGUACCUCUCCUGAAACUUAGACCCCAAGGCAAAAUUCACAUCCUCUCUGCUCCUGAAAAUUCAGAAUGUCAAGCAGACAGUGGCCGCUAUCAAUGCAGAGCCAAAAGAAAGAACACUUUCU
This is a long non-coding RNA of Strigops habroptila (Kakapo), 481 nucleotides long. RefSeq lists it as uncharacterized. The record is from RefSeq and is a predicted model, not a curated record. NCBI's taxonomy places the organism in Eukaryota, Metazoa, Chordata, Aves, Psittaciformes, Psittacidae. The transcript is spliced from 3 exons.